CUGGUGCGUGUGAGAGCAUGCUUAAAAGGGAAGCGCGGUGAAAAUCCGCCACUGUCCCGCAACUGUGAUUCGGAGUCUUUUAUGAUAAGCCACUGGGAAACUGGGAAGGCAUAGAAGAUGUGGAUGAGAAGUCAGGAGACCUGCCAGUAUCU
RNAcentral lists this non-coding RNA (152 nucleotides) under Candidatus Kurthia intestinigallinarum. Lineage: Bacteria; Bacillati; Bacillota; Bacilli; Caryophanales; Caryophanaceae. RNAcentral also lists the same sequence under 1 other name. The record is from RNAcentral.